CUGCUCAAUGAUUAAAUUAAAUAGCUGCAGUAUUCUAACUGUACAAAGGUAGCAUAAUAAUUUGCCCUAUAAUUAAGGGAUAGAAUGAAAGAUUUAAUGAAAAAAUUAUUGUCUCAAUUUUUUUUAUAAAAAUUAAUUUUUAAGUUAAAAAGCUUAAAUAACAUUAAAAGACGAGAAGACCCUAUAGAAUUUUAUAUAUAAAAUACUUAUUCUAUUUAAUCUUUAUAAAAUAAAUAUUUUAUUUAUUUAAUUGGGAGGAUUCUUAAAUUUAUUAAACUUUAAUUAAUUAAAAAAUUAAUUAAUUUAAAAUAAAUGAUCCAAAUAUUUUGAUUUAUAAAAUAAAUUACCUUAGGGAUAACAGCAUAAUUUUUUUAAAAAGUUCUUAUUUAAAAAAAAGUUUAUGACCUCGAUGUUGAAUUAAGAUUUAAUAUAAAUGAAAAUAUUUAUAAUUU
This 452-nucleotide ribosomal RNA is filed under the name Poecilogonalos costalis. RNAcentral describes it as "partial 16S rRNA". Lineage: Eukaryota; Metazoa; Arthropoda; Insecta; Hymenoptera; Trigonalidae. The record is from RNAcentral.